This 468-nucleotide ribosomal RNA is filed under the name uncultured bacterium. Its description in RNAcentral is "partial 16S ribosomal RNA". It matches the Rfam family "Bacterial small subunit ribosomal RNA", at positions 28 to 507 of the family's 1533-position model. The record is from RNAcentral.
GACGAACGCUGGCGGCGUGCUUAACACAUGCAAGUCGAACGGAAAGGCCCUGCUUUUGUGGGGUGCUCGAGUGGCGAACGGGUGAGUAACACGUGAGUAACCUGCCCUUGACUUUGGGAUAACUUCAGGAAACUGGGGCUAAUACCGGAUAGGAGCUCCUGCUGCAUGGUGGGGGUUGGAAAGUUUCGGCGGUUGGGGAUGGACUCGCGGCUUAUCAGCUUGUUGGUGGGGUAGUGGCUUACCAGGGCUUUGACGGGUAGCCGGCCUGAGAGGGGGACCGGCCACAUUGGGACUGAGAUACGGCCCAGACUACUACGGGAGGCAGCAGUGGGGAAUAUUGCACAAUGGGCGGAAGCCUGAUGCAGCAACGCCGCGUGCGGGAUGACGGCCUUCGGGUGGUAAACCGCUUUCGCAUGUGACGAAGCGUGAGUGACGGUAAUGGGUAAAGAAGCACCGGCUAACUACGUG